This 441-nucleotide ribosomal RNA is filed under the name uncultured bacterium. RNAcentral describes it as "bacterial SSU rRNA". It matches the Rfam family "Bacterial small subunit ribosomal RNA", at positions 339 to 797 of the family's 1533-position model. The record is from RNAcentral.
AUACGGAAGGCAGCAGUGGGGAAUCUUGCACAAUGGGGGAAACCCUGAUGCAGCGACGCCGCGUGAGCGAUGAAGCCCUUCGGGGUGUAAAGCUCUUUCGGCAGGGACGAUAAUGACGGUACCUGCAGAAGCAGCUGCGGCUAACUACGUGCCAGCAGCCGCGGUAAUACGUAGGCAGCGAGCGUUGUUCGGAGUUACUGGGCGUAAAGGGUGUGUAGGCGGUCCCUUAAGUUUGGUGUGAAAUCUCCCGGCUCAACUGGGAGGGUGCGCCGGAUACUGAGGGGCUAGAGUGCGGGAAGGGAAAGUGGAAUUCCUGGUGUAGCGGUGAAAUGCGUAGAUAUCAGGAGGAACACCGGUGGUGCAAACGGCUUUCUGGACCGUAACUGACGCUGAGACACGAAAGCGUGGGGAGCAAACAGGAUUAGAUACCCGAGUAGUCCC